This 334-nucleotide ribosomal RNA is filed under the name uncultured Bacillota bacterium. Its description in RNAcentral is "bacterial SSU rRNA". It matches the Rfam family "Bacterial small subunit ribosomal RNA", at positions 29 to 351 of the family's 1533-position model. Lineage: Bacteria; Bacillati; Bacillota. The record is from RNAcentral.
AACGAACGCUGGCGGCGUGCCUAAUACAUGCAAGUCGAGCGGAGUAAGGUGAAACUUGUUUCACCGAACUUAGCGGCGGACGGGUGAGUAACACGUAGGCAACCUGCCCAUAAGACUGGGAUAACUACCGGAAACGGUAGCUAAUACCGGAUAGGUUCUUUUCUCGCAUGAGAGAAGAAAGAAAGACGGAGUAAUCUGUCACUUAUGGAUGGGCCUGCGGCGCAUUAGCUAGUUGGUGGGGUAAAGCCUACCAAGGCGACGAUGCGUAGCCGACCUGAGAGGGUGAUCGGCCACACUGGGACUGAGACACGGCCCAGACUCCUACGGGAGGCUG